CCUAGUAAGAGACAUUAUUGUUCCAUUAAAUGAGAAAAAGUAUGAAUAAGUGCAACAGAAGUCCUUAGUAUUUUAAUCAUCAUGAAUAAUUGGAACAAAAGUCCUUCGUAUUUUAAUUAUGAAUUUCACUUCAUUCAACAAAGCUUAUUUAUGAAAUUAGUAAAUUUCAACAUAUUGUUUAUGUUAACAUCAAUUUCAUAAGCAAUAUUUCAACAUAUUGUUUAUUUUAACAUCAAUUUCAUACAAAUUAUUAUCAGACAUAUUGAUUGGUGGGAUAUAAAAGGGUUUUAGAAAGAACCAAUCCACUUGGGAUAUGAGAAGAUACAAAAUUAAAACGACAUUUGGAAACAUGAGUGAUUACGAAAAUAAAUGUCUAUUUCUCUGACCCUUGAGAUCCCAGCUACGGUUUAUUCUUAGAGCAAAGGUAAACGAUUUUGAAACAAAAACUAGGCAUUUACGGAAUAUAAACAUGUAACUUUGGAUCACCGUCAUUACUUUGCAAAUGUUCCUGCGUCCACAAUGAAGAUCACAUGAGCGUUAACAGGGAAUGUGAUAAAGAAUUGUUUUGAUACGUCAUAAAAUAAAUAUAGCAUGCUAAAUAUUGAUAUUUCCCCCAAAACAUCAUCUUAAUCAACUAGACUUGCAUAUUUUAUUGUAACUUCUCUGACAAAAGGUUGGCAUCUUUUCUCUUUUUUCAAAUACAAUUUCCAAUUUUGAAUUAGAAACUGGUAAGAAUAUUAAUUUGUGUAUUUAUAACAUUACAAACUAGAAUAAUAACUUGACUAAUAUUAAUAAAUAACUGAAAUGAAUUGCAUAAUAAAAAAAAAAAGUUGUACCUCAGUGGUUUUCUAGUUUGAUAUAGAUAUUAAUAAUAACGGGACUAGUAUUGAUAAAUAACUAAAACAAAUUGCACUAUCAUUAAAAAAAAAAAAAUGGCUGUACCAUAGCGGUUUUCUAGUUUGAUAUAGAUAUUAAUCUAAGAACACUACUCAUUUAAGUAGCAAGAAGUAUUGUGUAUCACGGCCAAAUCUACUUUGCUUAAUUAGGGUGGUUAUCCUAAGCACAGGUUGUGAUAUCAACAUUACUUUCACAAAAAAAGGCAUAUAAAUGAUGAGUACACUUGUUUACAAGUGAAAUUCUAUCCCAGUAAAAUGACACUAAGGGUAAAAGGAAUCAAUUAACGGAAAACAACUUCCAAUAGACUAUAAAACAACUUUCUGUAGCAUCUUUGAGGCACAUCUUCAAUAAUUCUGCAUCCUCAGUAGAACUUCAAAAAAUAACCAGUCAUAAUCAAUCACCUUAAUAGAAAUGUUUACCUAAUAGUAAUGUGAAAAAAUCAUGCCAAUAAAUCGAAAGCAAAUCAAUACCACAUGGAACUCAAUCAACAUAAUUUUAAUUCAAAAUGGAGACAUAGAACUAGAUCUCAAGUACAAAAGUCUAUGGUUAUGGUGCAAGAAUGAGGACUUUUCUGAAAUCAACCGAACUUUAGAUGCAUGAUUCAAUGCUUGAACAUUUAUAACAUACUUAAAAGUUGGAAAUCAGCAGCGACUAGACUCUGUGCAGCAACAAAUAUUUUUCAAUCACAUACAUGCACAUUCACCUGAGAGUACGCAUCCAUGUUUCAUACACAUUUCUUAAGGAAACAAGCCAAUGUCUAGAUAAAAGAUGAACCAUAAAAGAGUGUACAAGUGCACAAAUUAUCCCAGAAGAAUUCAAACGCUGUUCUCAUGCUUUAAAAACUGACUUGACACUCCUUGGAAUAGCCUCAUUUAAUAUACACACCCAAAAAGGUAAUCCAGUAAAAAAAAAAAAAAUAGUGAAAGCAGUUAAAUGAAAUGAAUUGAAAAAACAAACAAUAAUAUUUUCUUUUCAAUCCUUAACAUUGAAUAUGAACUGAAAAUAUAGUCAACAACAGCUUAGAAGUUAGAAGGAAGUAGCUUUUUGUCACAAAAAAAACAGGGCAUCUAUUCACAUGAAGCAGCCCACCUGUAAAGGACAAUAACCCAUCCUAUCUACUGUAAAGUUCACUAAAACAUGGUGCAUAAUCUUAAAACAGCUCACUUGUUAUUACCAUAGACUUUCUAAAAGCCCACUAAUGUUUUUUCAGCCAGGCAAAGGGAUAAGAAAACUAACGGUAAAGCCAAUUUGACGGUAUAAAGAGAGUCUUAAAUUGGAAAAAGUUCUUCACAACCAAAGUAUAUCUAAACUCAAGCUCUAUCUCGCUCACCCACAAAGAAAAUCACAACUAUGAUAUCCAAAUAAUUCCUUUCUCAUUUCAUCAUGUAAAUGGCAUACAAAGACGUGAGAAUUCAAAUUUAGACAAUUGAUAAUUACCCAAAACCACAGCAUGUGCACCUCAUAACCCACAAUUUUUAACCAAACCUAACUGAUCCCCAAAAUAUAUUAGUAAAUUAAUUAACAAUAUAUAUAUAUAUAAUAGGAUUCUUUUUCAAUUUCUUUAUAAUAUUUACUACUUUACGUAAAAGUAGAAUGAAUAGUGAAAAUUAUAAUUACUAGUAAGGAGUGGUGGGAGCAAACUCUGUCCAUCUAAGUCUCGAGCCUUGCCACUUCAGAAUUCUAACAAUAAAGCAGUUAGCUUUAGCAAUCUAAUUGAUGAAAUGAAAAUUAAAUACCUGUAAAUAUAGCAGUGACUUACUAGAGGGAGUGAAGCUUCAAUUGACAGUGAAAGCUAAGGUUUCAAUUUCGGCAACUGUGAUUUUGUUCUUCUUUCAUGGCAAGAGAUUGGGUUUCUUUCAGCUAUCAAAAGUGUCGUGGCUAUUAUUCUCAUUUCGAUUUGGGUUUCGUCAAGACUAGUUUCACUGGAGCAAAGAGAGAUGAUUGAGUGACAAUGUCAAAUAUGUAGGGCAUUGAAAAUAGCAGCGAUAAUGAUAGUCAUUGAGAAUAGCGUCGAACUGCGAGUGUUUGG
This 2926-nucleotide long non-coding RNA is filed under the name Citrus maxima (pomelo). RNAcentral describes it as "long non-coding RNA (CMAX_LNC000877)". Lineage: Eukaryota; Viridiplantae; Streptophyta; Magnoliopsida; Sapindales; Rutaceae. The record is from RNAcentral.